CGUAGGCGGACAGCUAAGUCGGGGGUGAAAGCCCGGGGCUCAACCUCGGAAUUGCCUUCGAUACUGGCUAUCUUGAGUACGGGAGAGGUGUGUGGAACUCCGAGUGUAGAGGUGAAAUUCGUAGAUAUUCGGAAGAACACCAGUGGCGAAGGCGACACACUGGCCCGUUACUGACGCUGAGGCGCGAAAGCGUGGGGAGCAAACAGGAUUAGAUACCCUGGUAGUCCACGCCGUAAACGAUGAGUGCUAGUUGUCGGCAUGUAUGCAUGUCGGUGACGCAGCUAACGCAUUAAGCACUCCGCCUGGGGAGUACGGUCGCAAGAUUAAA
This 328-nucleotide ribosomal RNA is filed under the name uncultured bacterium. RNAcentral describes it as "bacterial SSU rRNA". It matches the Rfam family "Bacterial small subunit ribosomal RNA", at positions 570 to 898 of the family's 1533-position model. The record is from RNAcentral.